UGGGGAAUAUUGCACAAUGGGGGAAACCCUGAUGCAGCGACGCCGCGUGAGUGAGGAAGUAUUUCGGUAUGUAAAACUCUAUCAGCAGGGAAGAUAAUGACGGUACCUGACUAAGAAGCACCGGCUAAAUACGUGCCAGCAGCCGCGGUAAUACGUAUGGUGCAAGCGUUAUCCGGAUUUACUGGGUGUAAAGGGUGCGUAGGUGGUAUGGCAAGUCAGAAGUGAAAGGCUGGGGCUCAACCCCGGGACUGCUUUUGAAACUGUCAAACUAGAGUACAGGAGAGGAAAGCGGAAUUCCUAGUGUAGCGGUG
This 311-nucleotide ribosomal RNA is filed under the name uncultured Lachnospiraceae bacterium. RNAcentral's name for it is "bacterial SSU rRNA". It matches the Rfam family "Bacterial small subunit ribosomal RNA", at positions 355 to 683 of the family's 1533-position model. The record is from RNAcentral. Lineage: Bacteria; Bacillati; Bacillota; Clostridia; Lachnospirales; Lachnospiraceae.